AUACGGAGGACGCGAGCGUUAUCCGGAUUCAUUGGGUUUAAAGGGUGCGCAGGCGGCCGUGCAAGUCAGCGGUGAAAGCCCGGGGCUCAACCCCGGAAGUGCCGUUGAUACUGCGUGGCUGGAAUGCGGUCGAGGCGGGCGGAACGUGGCGUGUAGCGGUGAAAUGCGUAGAUAUGCCACAGAACGCCGAUAGCGGAGGCAGCUCGCCAGGCCUGCAUUGACGCUCGGGCACGAAAGCGUGGGGAUCGAACAGGAUUAGAUACCCUGGUAGUCCACGCCGUAAACGAUGGGCGCUCGUCGUCGGCGACAGACAGUCGGCGGCCAAGCGAAAGCGAUAAGCGCCCCACCUGGGGAGUGCGGUCGCAAGGCUGAAACUCAAAUGAAUUGACGGGG
Molecule: ribosomal RNA, 393 nt
Filed under: uncultured bacterium
Lineage: Bacteria
Description: partial 16S ribosomal RNA
Rfam family: Bacterial small subunit ribosomal RNA
Source: RNAcentral